This 13511-nucleotide long non-coding RNA is filed under the name Triticum aestivum (bread wheat). Its description in RNAcentral is "long non-coding RNA (TAES_LNC009400)". The record is from RNAcentral. Lineage: Eukaryota; Viridiplantae; Streptophyta; Magnoliopsida; Poales; Poaceae.
CGCGUCCUGCCCGCACCGCCGCCGCUCUCCGCGCCGCGCGCACUUCGUCGACUGGUACCUCGUCCUCGCCGUAAGUACAUACGCAUGCACGUCCUUCUUCCUCGUUGCGCCUCUGUUUUCGGCAUCGUGUUACUUAACUCAAUGUCCGGAACCGGUGGCAGAUCGGCGAGGCCUCGUCGGAGGACGCCAUCAACCGGCGGUACCGGCACCUCGGUACGCAUACAUCCGCAACCGUUAAUUGCUGCGUUUAAUUACUGAUCAUACAUUCGUACAUCGAUGGUAAAAUUGAUUUGACAUUCGGGAGCAGCGCUGCAGCUGCACCCGGACAAGAACAGGCACCCCAAGGUGUAUUUAUUCGCCUAAAUGACCUUUUUUUCGCCUAAACGCAAUUAUGGCCCCGCUGAAAACUUAUAUGCCGACAAUCUGCAAGUCGCGUUCGAUAUACGUACAGACGCCAAACCGCUUCCCGUCUUUGACCGUCAACGACAAACAAUCGUCGGUCAACAAUCCGGCACCCCAUGGACACGUCCUGCCGAGUAGACGCCACACCGUUGUCGCCACUAACAAUGUACUUCAGAGCAUGUUAGUUGCAACUAACAUUGUCAACUGCACUAACAUCAUGUUAGCACGCCCGAUGCACACGUAACGCAGCAACCAAAUAGUCGUGCCAACGAUAGAGAGCACCGCUAUCAAGUAGACGUGCUUGUUUUGUUUCCGACGCCAUAUAAUCUGUUCAGACAACUUAGCAAACGUGUCAAACAAUUAGUCGACAUUCUUCACGGUGGAUGGAAAGUUGUUAGCAGUCUUCUUUACCAUUAAUAAAUUGUCCCUCGACCGGCACGCCAUUAUUUGGGAAGUCGUGUCGAAAACCUCAAAGUCCAUUGUCCAUGGAAGUGGUGGGCUUUUCUGCUGGGCCGAGAAGUGAAGGUAUUCGAGCCUAUGACUUCCUUGAGAAAACGCUACAUCUGCAACAUUUGCGACGAGCAGAUGCAAUCCUACCUUAAUUAUAGUAGUGCCAUGAGUACCUUAACUGCCUAUAUUUUGUUGGGCGAACAGCAGCUGAUGUUCUGCUAUUAAUCAACAUCUUGCAUUGCUGUGUUAACUGUAUUUUGUGGUAAUGCUUGAACAGUUGAUUGAAAUGUGUUUGUCAGUAUUGUUUUUCUUGUAUAAAUUGAUUUCCCCUUCUAGGAUAGAUAUAACUUUGUCAAUUGUGUUUGCAUAAGUGGGCGUAGAAUUCUUUCCAUGGUUCUAAUAUUUUUUUCCUUGUAUACCCAUCUUUAGAAUUAAUGGUAGCCCCCGACAAAUGUUGAAAUUUGUGCAUGUCAUACCGUGUCGACCAACAUAUUUUUUUUCUUGUAUAGACCCCGGCUUCGAAAAACUAAGGUAGUCCCACAUCAUACCGUGUCAACACAGUAUGUUAACUUCUUUUUUUUUUGCGGGUGAAACGAGAUUGUAUUAAUUAAGAAAAGGUGUUACACUCGUUUUCACAAAUAAGAGAAAGAUCCUCAGGCCCAGAGCCUAGCCAAACCAUCAUACGCUGGGUGGUGCGUCCCCUAUGAGCUAGACAAUGGGCGGCACUGUUGGCUGAUCUCCGGACGUGGCCAAAACUAUGCCUCCGGAUCCCAUGCAGGGCCCUCUUCGUCUCCUCCACCCAGCUCGCCAGUGAAGAUCUGUUGACGCUGCUAUCCAUCAGGGCGUCCACUCCCUCCUUGCAAUCUAAUUCAAUGAUUAAUGGCUUCUCCGUUCGCUGCAGCGCCAAGGACGUGCCCUAAAGACACGCUGCCAUUUCCGCCUCCAUCGGGGAGCAACAUGAUCGAAGAAAGCGACACGAAGAGAAGAUGAUGGCCCCGAUGUUGUUAUUCUCGCCAUGGACGUAUGAUCCAUCCACGUUGAGCUUCGCCCAUCCCGCCGGAGGUUUCUCCCAAGUUGUGUUAGCUUGUAUACCUGUCGGUGAUGCUACUGUUUGCUUGACCAUAUGCGGUACACUCUGAACCAUCUUGCCUUUCACCAAAUCUCCUUGUGGAUGCUGCUUGAUGCACAGUAGGGACUCGAUGUAGCUAUUCAAGAAUCUCCGCGAACACUCGAUAGGUGGUGCCGGCUUGUAAUGUGUGACCUCGUUCCUACAAUGCCACACACGCCAAAAGGUCAUGAGGAUGACCAGCCGUUGCAACUCGGUGCAGUUAUCCAGGAGGUGAAGUAGCCAUUCCUUGCCAGUGUUCAUGACCGUCGCCAGGUCCGGGAGUGGCCAUGACUCCCUCAUGGCCUCCCAUAGUGCACCCGCCAUGGGGCACCUGCAAACAGCGUGGAAGGUGUCCUCCCGCUCAACGCCACAUAGGCCACACACAUCCGAUUUUUCCAAGGUUCUCUUAUGCUUAUUCUCCAUCGUAGCCAAUGAGUUUGUCGCAAUUCGCCAGCCGAAUACGCAUACCUUAGGUGGAACAGGGCACCUCCACAAUGCUCUCCAGAUGGCACAAUUGCCAUCCGGUGCCCUGCUCGCGGCGCAUGAAGACGUGCGAAAUUUAUCCUCAAGACCAAUCUUGUAGGCCGACUUGACAGAAAAGAUGCCUUUUGGGUCUGGGCCCCAAGCCAAGACAUCAUGCAUCCUUGGCGAGGGACGCAACUUUAGUAUUUCAUCAACAUCGGGUGGCAAGAAGUGUUGUUGAAGUAGCUCAGUGUUCCAUGCACCACGAUCAUCAAGUAGUUUUGCCACUCGGCGUAAUCGGCACCUUCCAGCCUGUGAUAUGGGCCGGUAUGACGCCGGCCGUUCGAGCCAAGGGUCGCGCCAGAUACGAACAUUUUGACCGUCACCGAUCCGCCAUACAUUUUGACCGUCACCGUUCGAGCCAAGGAGCUCCAAGCCAUAUGUUAUGGCCUGCCAAGUAGAGGACGCGUUACCUGCAAAAACAGUAUCCUCCAACCGCCCAUUAGGAUAAUAUUUAGCUUUCAAAACCCUUGCACAUAAGCUGUCCGGAUUGAUGAGUAAUCGCCAUGCCUGCCGUGCCAAAAGCGCCUGAUUGAACAACCUAUAAUCCCGAAACCCCAGACCACCCAUCGCUUUGGGUUUGAUGAUCUCAUCCCAGGCCAUCCAGUGGGUUUUCCGUUUCCCUUUCUCCCUCCGUUUCCCUUUCUCCGCACCCCGCCAAUAAUUCCGGACCAUCCGAGUAAGAUCAUCACAUACAGAGAAUGGCAAUUUAAAUACUCCCAUGAUGUACGUAGGGAUGGAUUGCGCCACCGCCUUGAUCAAUACUUCUCUCCCAGCUUGGGCCAUGUAGCCAUCUCCCCAUAUACAGAUGUGUUUCAUUAACUUCAUUUGCAAAUUUUGGAACUUGCCUUUAUGCAUACGACCGUCUGGUGUUGGAAGUCCCAAAUAUUUGUCAUCAAAUUGAUCUUUCAUAACCUGUAGCUCUUGUUUUAUUAUUUCCUGUGCAUUAUUCGGACAUGACUGUCCAAACAGAAUCGAACAUUUGGCUGGGUUUAUGAGCUGUCCGGUGGCUCUCUCGUACACAUGUAUAAUCUCCUUGACUGCCACAUCCUGCUGUUUGUUCUCCUUGAAAAAUAGGAGUGUAUCAUCAGCGAAUAACAUGUGCGAGACCCCCGGUGCAGCCCGGCAUAUUUUCAGUGAUUCAAUAGCAUUUGAUCGCACCCCUUGUUUGAGCAACUCAGACAAACCAUCAGCCACAAAGAGGAAAAUAAAUGGUGAGAGGGGAUCACCUUGCCGAAGACCACGCUCCGGUGCGAAUGAUUCUAAGAGGGUUCCAUUAAAUUUAACCGUGUAUCUCACCGUGGUGACGCGCGUCAUGAUCCAUUGCACCCACCGGUGAGCAAAGCCCAACUUAUUCAUCACUCGCUCCAAGAAUCCCCAAUCAACCCUGUCGUAGGCUUUGGAGAGGUCCAACUUGUAUGCACAGAAACUAGCAUCCGGUUUCUUCUCUUGAUGUAUUGCAUGAACACACUCAAAGGCCAACAGUGCAUUAUCCGUAAUCAAACGACCUGGAAUAAAUGCGCUCUGAAACGGUGAUAUGAUCUCAUCCAGUAUAGGGCUCAAGCGAUUAACCAGACACUUUGCAACAAUCUUAUAAAUUACGUUGCAAAGACUGAUGGGCCUAAAAUCUGUAACCCGUGUUGGUUCAUCUGACUUUGGAAUAAGAACAAUGAUCGCCUCAUUUACACCCUCGGGCAUAACACCGGUCUGGAAAAAAUUCCUCACUGCCCUAACAAUUUCCUCCUUGAAAAUGCUCCAGUUCCGCUGAAAGAAGCGAGCCGGCAGCCCGUCACUUCCUGAAGCUUUUAGGGGGCCGAUCUGAAAGAGUCCGUCAGCUAUCUCUUUUUCAGAAAAUUCAGCACACAACUUGUCGUUCAUCUCGUCUAAAAUUCAGCACACAACUUAUCGUUCAUCUCGUCUGUUACAACUGUCUCAAAAAGAUUUACCACUGGAGUAGGAUCCAAGGUCGGGUCACGUGCAAAGAUAGACUGAAAAUAAUCUUGCACCAAGUUCCCCAUGAUAGUAUGAUCAACUUGUUCCACACCAUUGUUAUCAAUCAGGCUUUUCACUUUAUUUUUACGCGCUCGCCAACACACUAUGUUAACUUCAACAUAUAUGCAUUAAGUAUCUUGCUCAAUGCCUCAAGUUGAGCACCUACGUCCAUUUCUUUGAAGCAACUCUUAGCUUACCUAUAAGCCGGCAAACGUUUAAUUUCUAAAAUGAACUUUACUCGAAGGCUUGAAGAUUGGGUUUUCAAAAAGAAAAUGGACUUUCAUGUUUUGUUGGAGUUGCAACCUGCCAGCCCCUCUCUUCACUCUCAGCUGGAUUUGACGCUCCCAGAUGAUUUUAUGCUCCUCACUGAGUUUUUACACUCCCUUCUUCCUCACACAGAUGCCUCUCAAGAGUACACACGCACACAUUACACUAUUCAACAACGAAUGUCUGGGCGCUCGCUAGGGCAUGCCACAUCGUCACCGAAAAAAGGCAACUAGGCGACGCUUCGUGGUUGGCUACUUGUUGCCAUUGGCCCACAUGGCCCUUGUUAGUUCGACCGACUCGGUCGGGAGGUUGCCUUCCUAGGAAGCUUUCUGCCGCAUACAUUGCCCGCCUCCCAGAACUAGCCCCUACUGUCCUUUCCCUGGCUUUUGGCCCGGUUGGUAAGGCCCUUUUAGUCCCGGUUUUUGAACUGGGACUAAAGGGUCGUUACUAAUGCCUCUCCCUUUUAGUCCCGGUUCUUACACGAAGCGGGACUAAAGACCGCGGCCACGUGGAGCUCCACCUUUAGUCCCGGUUGGUGUUUUUUGAAAAAAAAAUGAAUUUUUUUUUGAUUUUUAAAUUUCUGAAUUAUUUUAACCUCUAAUCUCUAAUCAUCACUACUCAAUUUAUCCUCUAAUCUCUAAUCACCCCUCAUCAUUCCAAAUCAUCUAACUUCCUGAACGGUCACCCAUCCUCCCACUCCCCCAGCCUGAGCACGCUUAACUUCCGGGUUCUAUUCUCCCUCGUUUCCAAGUCUGCACUUGUUGUUUUCCUGACAAUAGUAAGAUGUCAAUCCUAUUAACCCUCGGGAAUUUUGCUUGAGCAUGAAGUGACACAUUUCACUGUUUGAGUUUGAAACUAUUGUUUUAAAAAACAAUAAUUAUUUAGUAACACUAAUAUUUCUUGAAUAAUUAGUUUGACCAUUGUUUGACCAUAGUUUGACCAGAUUUGACCAAAAUUCAAAAUAACUGAAAUAAUUAUUUAGUAACACUAAUAUUCUAGAAUAAUUAGUUUGACCAUUGUUUGACCACAGUUUGACCACAGUUUGACCAGAUUUGACCAAAAUUCAAAAUAAAUAAAAUAAUUAUUUAGUAACAGUAAUAUUCUAGAAUAAUUAGUUUGACCAUUGUUUGACCACAGUUUGACCAUAGUUUGACUAGAUUUGACCACAUUUUUUCCAAAAAAAAUUUUGAAACUAUAUUUUUUCUGUUACUAGUGGCGCACCUAGCAAAUGGUGCGCCACUAGUAAGUUUGAAUUUUUUUCGAUUUUUUCCACUCUAGAUCUUAAAAGCCCCGUAACUUUUUUCUGUUAGGUUUUUGAGGAUAUUGAAAAUGUUUAACGGGGUUUCCCCCGUUAGAUUCGGAUGUAACUUUUCGAGUAGAUGAUUUUUCAUAUAAAAAACUUUUUCAUCCGAGUUCGUAUGCAAAAGUUAUGCCCAUUUUACAAAUUCCAGAGAGAUUUUGCAAAUAAAGUCGAAAUUCAUAUUUGUAAAUUUUCCCAACAACUAGACCACAUAUCACAUGGGAAACUUUUUUUUUUGACAUUUCNNNNNNNNNNNNNNNNNNNNNNNNNNNNNNNNNNNNNNNNNNNNNNNNNNNNNNNNNNNNNNNNNNNNNNNNNNNNNNNNNNNNNNNNNNNNNNNNNNNNNNNNNNNNNNNNNNNNNNNNNNNNNNNNNNNNNNNNNNNNNNNNNNNNNNNNNNNNNNNNNNNNNNNNNNNNNNNNNNNNNNNNNNNNNNNNNNNNNNNNNNNNNNNNNNNNNNNNNNNNNNNNNNNNNNNNNNNNNNNNNNNNNNNNNNNNNNNNNNNNNNNNNNNNNNNNNNNNNNNNNNNNNNNNNNNNNNNNNNNNNNNNNNNNNNNNNNNNNNNNNNNNNNNNNNNNNNNNNNNNNNNNNNNNNNNNNNNNNNNNNNNNNNNNNNNNNNNNNNNNNNNNNNNNNNNNNNNNNNNNNNNNNNNNNNNNNNNNNNNNNNNNNNNNNNUGAAAAUGGGACCUUUAGUACCGGUUCGUGCCAUGAACCGGUACUAAUGCCUCAAAGCCCAUUAGUACCGGUUGGUGGCACCAACCGGGACUAAAGGUCUAACCUUUACUCCCGGUUGGUGCCACCAACCGGGACUAAUGGGCAUCGCACCCUUUAGUCCCGGUUCGUGGCACCAACCGGGACUAAAGGGCCCAGGUGAACCGGGACUAAUGCCUUAGCCGCACGAACCGGGACGAAUGCGCACAUUAGUCCCGGUUCGUGACUGAACCGGGACUAAUGUGAAUACUGCCCUGUGACCAAAGCCAUGUUUUCUACUAGUGUCUACGAAUCCAACCCUUCCAUAAUCAGGUCUCGACGCCCGCAUCUACCAUUUGCAGCGCCAUCGUGGCGGAUCCUGCACUUGCGGGUGGUCGAGCAGGCCGACCAAGCCCAUGGAGGUAGGAGGAGGCCUUGGGGAAUGGGCAUGGUGAGAGCGGCCAGCCAUCGGCGGAACCGCACUGCCAUCUCCCAUCUCCUGGUGCUCGCUAGGUGGAGCAUGGAUUCGGCGAUGUGCAUCUGCUAAAUGAACCGCCCGUCCGGUCACCUCCGUACAAGGUAUGCAUAGGUUUUGUUUUGUUGUCAACUCAAGUGGUGAUUCUUUGAUGGGUUCAAACUUCCAAUUUGAUAGGCCUACAAAAGAAGAGCAGAGAACAUCCCUCUUCCUUUACAUCUACAAUUGAAUUUACAGGUGAUUGUUCCAUGGAGUUCAAGUAUUUGUCAAAUUGCUUGCAAAGAAUAUAAUGCAAUGUUGAUAGGUUUAUUGAUAUGCCUCGUAUGCAAGCUCCUGACCCAAUGCAGAAGUUUUCUAUUGUGGAAAAAAGAUGUCAGUUUCAUCUAUCAAUGUUGGCAAAGUAAAUCUUAUAGCAGAGGUGGAACUUAAUAUUUCUUGACCUUUCAGAUCCUAAAGUCACGUGGAUUUGCCCUCGAAAGGGGUAGUAGUUGGUAAUGUCCUUUUGCGAAGUAUUUGUCGUGAUUUCUUUUCUCAAGAAGGCAUUAGUAUGUAUAACGCAACAUAACAUUUGGACCGGGCAACAUUGGCUCUACUUAGCUUGUUGAACGAUGAAACAUUAACCACCAAUGCUUUAUUUACAUGAUCUUUGUAACAAUAAGUUGUACACUGCUAGAUGUAUCACUACAAUACAUAACUUAGAAAUUCAAUGAGGUUCACCCUUCUCAAAUAGAAAAGGCUCAGGAAAUCCAUCCUUUGUAUAAAAGUUUAGCCUCUUAACUACCAGAGGACAAGGCAGGUAAUCAAGGGAUACUCGACUAUUGACCUACCGAAGGACACAUAACUUCAUGUAGACGCUACCACCCAAGUCCUUUAUAAGGAUAAAGGUAGGCUUCCCCAAAAAAACAUGAAUAGCAUGUUCCUCAUUUCACUUCUUUGUCUUCAAAUUUCCCAAUCUUACUUGUUCAUCAUUUGUUGUGUCUCCGCACAAUAAAUAUUUGAGUUUGAUAAAAUGGCAUAGCAGGCACCGGGAAUCAUCCAUUGAUGUUAAGAACAAAAGCAUGCACAUUUUCCCGAUGUGUAUCCAUUGCAUCCAGAUGGGUCUGCUCAGUCAAAUGUUCACCAUCCACUAGCUGGGUUGUCCACCUAUAAUGUACGCCAAAUUCUCACUACAUACGUUGUACUGAGGAAGAAGUAGCGUUAUCUGCUGCUUUGACUAUUUACAUGGUGUGCACUGGAACAAGACGCUAUAGCAACUUCCAUUCCCAACAUCAUGUGCCACGCUGCCAGAAAGAACAGGAGUAGUAGUAGCUCGGUGCAUCGCCCUGGUAGCCCAUAAAGAGGAGGACGUCGAAGAACUGCGUUUUAAAGUCACAACAAUAUAUGUGGCCCGGGAAGUAGCGAGCAUGGUGGCUUUGUCGUCCAAAUCUCGAAUUUUGGUGUAGAUGUGAUGCGAGGGCUUUUUGUUUCUCGUUUCAAAAACCGGAACUCCUUUACAAUGAUGCAUGGUACGAUAACAAACCUAGCUGGUGACACGACGUGCGUGCAUCUGCAUACUCAAUCCCAUCUCUUUUUGGCUCCACCUCUUCUUCCUCCUCGGAACCACCCCCACUCUCGAUCUCUUCCCCUCCCCACUCCACUAGAUGGAAAAGAAGUUACAACAACAAAAAUCUGUCCUCACCCUCCCACCCCUAUUUCACAAGCACAAAAUGCUUUAUCACUCAUACAUACAUGUGUGUUAUGCCCUACCUUGCGGCGAUUCAAGCCACCAUUGCACACUUCACUAUCGAUUGGUCGGUCUGGCAUGUGGGGAUGUCAAUGGAGGAAACAACCGGUAAGGCACCGGCGGCACAUGAGGUGUGUGCCGCGUCGAGGGCACCUUUCCGUCUUGUCCACACCUCCGAUGCUGACCCACUGCCUGCACUUAGUCGACUGGUACCUCGUCCUCGCUAUAGGAGAAACGUAUGCCCGUCCGUCCAUGUCUAGAUGAAACACUCAUUUUCUCUAUGGACGAGAGGAAGUGUGUUGAAUCCAUAUCCAAAUUGUUUGUUUCGUAAUUUAUUACACACAAGUUUUGUUUGAGCAUCUCAUUACCCGCAAAGUGUUCUCUCCAUUCAAAUCCAUGGUGAUACAUACUAUAGAGAAAAAUGCAACUUUUGAGGGCAAGCUUGAGCUUGUUCAAGCCUGCCCCUUAGAUUUGCCCCAUCGACAGCAGUACUUAAUGUUAGGUGGCAUAGCGAAGCGCACAUCUUCCUCUCAGAGCUAUUGAUCGAGUAAGGACUCGUAAUUUAAUGUCAAUGCUAGCACCCCAUUCCUUUAUAAUGAGCAAACUAGAUUUUCUUAAGCAAAAGAUGAAUAACUCGUUCCUCAUUUUACUUCAUUGUCAUGAAAUUGUCCGUUUUAUCAUGCAUUAUUUGUUGUCUCUCCAGCCAAUAAAUAUUUGAAAUCCAUAGCAUGUGCAUAGAGGCACCAAUAAUUACCAACGAAAUACUAAAGUUACAAUGUGGACCACUUCGUUUAGAUUGGCGCCCAGCCCUCCAUCUUACUUUCUAGCAUCACCUCUUCUUUUUCGGAUGACUGUCGCACCCACUAUCGUUGCCGUGUAUGUCAUGCUCUUAUGACAUCUCAAGAAAUAAACCACAUGAUAUGUUUCUUCUUGUCAGUGAUAUGGAAUGGUGAUUGGAGGAGAUUGGUUCGUGGCGCUCAAUGGUUCAUCACGCCAACACAUACGACAUCUUGUUACUGGAGUGUGGAACAAGUGAUGAAUCUGGUAGAGUUGAGUCGCACCAAAAUGGUUACAUCUAAAUACAAAAUAACAGAGCAUUGCAACACGAAGUGGAUUAAUCUCUUUAAACAGUUUGACAGUUGAAAAUUUUCUUGCAAAGAGCUAUUUAACCACAAAGGUAUGGGCUUGAGGCCGAGGAUUCUUGCGCAUGGGGGGCAGUGGGAGAAGAGAAUCGAUAUGAUCCAUAUAUAUAUGGUCGCUUCAAAUAAAAAUAAUGAACUUAAAAUACCAAAUUGUCUAUCAGUGUUGGCAAAAGACAUUCUAAAGUAUGGUGAAACUUAAUAAUAUUUUACCUUUCAAAUCCUAAAAUCACGUGCAUUUGAACAUGGAGGUAGUACCGGUUCGUAGUGUUCUUUUGCUAAGUAUCAUCGUAAUGUUUUUAUCAAGGAGGUACUAGCAUGUACAAUGCAACAUGGCAUUUGAACUAGACAAAGUUGGCUCUACUUAGCUUGUCAAGAAUGAAACAUUAGCGCUGACUUUACAAAGUAAUAAUAAGUUUUGUGUGUUGGGUAGGUGUGUCUUCUUAAUGUAGAGGUCGGAAGUCUAAUAAUCCCUCCGGUCCAUAUUACUACUAAAGCUGUACUAAAACAACACAAGUAAUAUGGACCGAAGGGAGUGGUGUUUUAUUCUUUAAAAAGAAGAAAGGUGCAACCUAUUCGUCAAAUGCCUGAAAUCAUAUUUUCCGCCGGUCAAUUCUGUCGUCUGUUUGAUCUAAAAGAUAUGUCCAAAUGUGUCUCUUCUUCGUCAGAACGGUUUUGUCUCCUCAGACACGAUUUGUCUCUCUCACCCUUCUCCUUUCAUCCCACGCCUCCAGCACCUCAUGCCUUGCCUCUGUCGAUGUCACGUCCAAGCCCUUGCCGGCGAGGCCGAGGCCAUCUGUGGCAUUGACGUCCCGAGAUUGGGUAUUGUCCAAUCUGAGAGUGAGUCCAAAUUAUAUGUACAAUCUUAUGGAGCAUUGUUUGUUUAAAGCUCUUGUAUCCUCUGAGUCGGAAUAGUACUUAACUUGCUUUGAUCACAACAUUUUUGUUGCUGAAGCUAUAGAAAAUGGGACGCACAAAUUUUCUUUUAGAAGAACUUUAUAUGGGCAAUCUUAGAAUUACAGAAUAGCUUGAAAGAGGGUGUGAAGAAGUCAUCAUUCAUGGGGGAAAAGAUCAAACUCUGUGGAUGAUGUCUGCUGACAGGAAAUUUUUAGUCAAGUCUCUUUAUAUGAUUCUUUUUAAGAAUAAUUCUGGUUUCCCGUAUAAAUUAUUAUGGAAAAUCAAGAUUCCUGCUAAAAUUAAAGUCUUCCUUUGACUGGUUAAUAGAAAUAGUAUAUUAACUAGAUAUAAUCUUCUUAAACAAGGAUAGAAAGGAGAUAAAGUUGUGUUUCUGUGGGCAAGAUGAAAGCAUUGACCACCUUCUUUCACUACUAGAAAAACAGCUAUAGCCAACAUGGACACUAAUGGCGCACUAUACAUGUGGUGCGUCAUUACUAAAUAGUAAUGGCGCACCAUGUGUAGCUGUGCCAUUAGUAACCAAAACAGUAAUGGCGCACCAUGUGUAGCUGUGCCAUUAGUAACCAAAACAGUAAUGGCGCACCAGGUGAAAAGUGCGCCAUUUACUAAGUUUGACCAAGGUUUGACCUAGUCAUACACAUAUUAAUGGCGCACUUUGUAUAGGUGCACCAUUACUAAGUUGACAUAGUAAUGGCGCACCUUUACAAAGUGCGCCAUAACUAUGUGUAUGACUGGGUCAAACCUUGGUCAAACUUAGUAGUGAUGCACUUAGUAAUGACAAACUUAGUAAUUACUAUGUCAAACUUAGUAAUGGCGCACCUAUACAAAGUGCGUCAUUACUAACUUUGACCAAGGUUUGAUCAAGUCAUACAGAUAGUAAUGGCGCACUUUGUGAAGGUGCGCCAUUACUAAAUGCACCCCCCCCUUGGACCGCUUUUUCAGUUUAAAAAAUAAAAGAAAAUGAUGGAAAUGUCAAAAAAAUAAAACAAAAUAAGUUUCCCAUGUGAUAUGUGGUCUAGUUGUUGGGAAAAUUUACAAAUAUGAAUUUCGACUUUAUUUACAAAAUCUCUUUGGAAUUUAGUAAAAUGGGCAUAACUUUUGCAUACGAACUCGGAUUAUAUGAAAAAUCAUUUACUCGAAAAGUUACAUCCGAAUUCAACGGGGGGAACCCCGUUAAAGAUUUUUAGAAUCCCCAAAAACCUAACAAAAUAAAAGAUAUGUGGCUUUUAAGAUCUAGAGGGGGGAAUGGAAAAAAUUUCAAACUUAGUAAUGGCGCACCAUUUGCUAGGUGCGCCACUAGUAUCAGAAAAAAAUUGGUUUAGAAUUUUUUUUGGAAAUAAUGUUUAAAAUAUGAUACGUAAUAUGACCGGAAAGUUUGAAAUAUUUUUUCAAAAUUUCAUCACACUCAUGAACAUGAACAAAGUCCUAGACAUCAACAAGGUUUAAUAGGAUUGAUAUGAUAGAUAUAUCAACAAGUGCCUGUUAAGUGAGCUGGUGCUGGGGUUGGAUAGAACUGAGAAGUUAAGCGUGCUCGGGCUGGAGUAGUGUGAGGAUGGGUGACCUUCCGGAAAUUUUGACCACGGAGUGCGAUUUGACUUGAGAUUAAGCAUAUUGACCCGAGAUUAAGCCAUAGUGACCCGAGAUUAAGAAAAAACGAAAAACAAUUCUGAAAAAAAAAGAAAAAAAUUUGUUAGUAAUGGCGCACUUCUAUGUGGCCAUUACUAUUAGUUACUAGUGGUGUGUUAAUAGUGGCGCGCCUAUAGUGCGCCAUUAAUAGCAAAAACUGAUGCGCCACUAACAGCCUUUUUCUAGUAGUGUUUCUCCUGUUCCGCUGCUAGGCUGAUUUGGAGCCUACUUCAGAGUUCUUCUGAUUUGAAUUCUACCCAUGUAAAUCUAAUGAUUUCUUUGACAAAUAGAUCAAGACAUAUCGGAAACCUGGCAAAAAACUUGUUCUUGUCGAGGUCUCGGCUCUAUUUUGGUCUCUCUGGAAGUGUAGAAAUGAUGUGAUUUCUAAUAGAAAGAAAAUUUAUGAUCCGAUUGUGCUGGUGAAACUAAUGGGUAAUUGGAUCUCUGAUGGGUCCAUUCUGUAGAUAAAGGACGCAAAGGCAAAAAUGUUGAUGCUGGGAGCAAGACUAGUCGAGCAGGUGGCAAGUGAAGUGUUUCGCUCUUCGCAGGGAUGGAGACCUAGAGUCCCUCGACUUGGUGUCUAAUUCCAGAGACGCAGAAGUGAAGUUCGAUGGGCCUUUUGUGCUGCUGGUUGUUGAAGUUGGCUGUUGGUUGUUUUGUUGGCUCUAAGUUGCUUUGUCCUAGUGUUCCUUUUGUGUUGGUCCCUACAAAAAAUGGUUGAUGUCUGUUGCUCUUGGCAUGUGCUUAACCUUAUUUUGGCCCUUGCUAUUCGGGUCUGUAAUAGAACCUUAGUUUGAAUCUUAUUAUGCUCGUAACUUCGUACGUUGUGCAUAUUGUUUAUAGAUGCUUAAGAUUAUAUGGUUUCAUCGUCAUAUGAAAUCAAAGAGGAAUGCCUCUCUUUU